AGUGCAAGGUGCUGGUGGUGGCACCCGUCCAGUGACACCCCUGGGGACACCGGGGACAUUGGGGACAUCGGGGACAACGGGGGACAGAGGGGACAUCGAGGACAGGCCACCCCGGGGGUCCCAAACGCGCCCAGGGACCCCCUUGGGGGGCUCGAGCUGCUGCUUGUGGGUGCCAAGGGAGGGGACAGAGGGGACACGGGGAUGUCCCCAAGCUUGGGGACACUUGGGGACAACCCCCAAGUGUCCUCGAGUGUCCCCAAGUGUCCCCGAGUGUCCCCAAGCUUGGGGACAUCAAGGAUGUGCCACCCCGGGGGUCCCAAAUGCGCCCAGAGACCCCCUUGGGGGGCUCGAGCUGCUCCUUCAGGGUGCCAAGGGAGGGGACAGAGGGGACACGGGGAUGUC
Molecule: long non-coding RNA, 402 nt
Organism: Neopelma chrysocephalum (saffron-crested tyrant-manakin)
Lineage: Eukaryota; Metazoa; Chordata; Aves; Passeriformes; Pipridae
Exons: 3
Source: RefSeq, a predicted model, not a curated record